GGCAGAGCUUUAUGACGUCAUAUUUGAGGGGGGUCUGACUUCUUGUGACGCCGUGUGACGAGGGAGGGAGGUGAAAAAUCGUCCAAAAUCGCGUGACGUCAUUUAUGGACGGCCCCUAAGAUCUGCAGCAGUAUUCCGAUAAAACGUCGGACGAGCCCAUUGAGUGAGUCUUGCGUGAUGCUUGAGGCCAUCAAGAGAGCUCUUUGCCUGGAGGUGGAGCCAGUGGGCCGCGUAGCUCGCCGUGAUCGUAUAGUGGUUAGUACUCUGCGUUGUGGCCGCAGGUUCGAAUCCGAGUCACGGCAUUGUGGCGACAAAGACACGGCAGCGGCCUGCGUUGUUUUAUUGUCCUUGUUUAUAGGGGUUAGUUAAUUUAGCCACGCGUUUGCAGAAAGGCGUGCGUGUUUUAUCUGUUACUUUUUAAAGUCAGUAAAUGUAACUGCUGUCAUCACCUGACCCACGAUCUGAACUUCUCGAGCAGCGCUGCCUCGUGGCCCAGGUCGAGAGGCGACUCCCACCAUGCAUUUCACCGUUAGCACAGUUGUAGUAAACUGCUUUUAUCCUUUACGUCUUUCUUGCCUGUAUAACCUCUUACCACGGCAACUGUCUCUCCCACUUCAGCAAAACAUUUUCUUGCUGUGGUUUUCCCACCUGAUGAUGAUUGCUUGUGUUGCAAUCGAAACGUGAUUUAUUUUUUGUUUGUUUUAUACCUACUACGUGACUUAACCAAAAAUAACCAAAGAGUAUGGAUCCCUGCAGUCACGAAAACUUCAAUUCUAGAUUCUUAAAUCGUUGACUUUGCAGGUGAUAUAAACUUGUUAAAUUACAGUUAAUGUUAAUGUUGACACUGAACAAGUUGAAUAUUUGUAGGCGCUAAACCUGCUUAGCUGGGAAACCACACCGUACCCAUAGCGUAGAGUCAGUCUACCUGACUACAUAUAGCGCUGCGUCGACGUGUUCUUAUUAAGACUAUACUUUCAGGGAUCAUUUCUAUAGUUUCCAACUUACGAAAUGGGCUCUAAAGUGUCUGGACCAACCAGCCCCGAUGAGGAGUUGGAGCUGUGCCUCCUGAGCGCGAAGCCGGCUUGGAGUGCUGCUCACGCAGCAGCUCCUCGCCAUUGAUGACCGUUCCUGCCGCUCGCAAGGGUGGCGGGAGGGAGGCACAGCAAGCUGAGGGGUUGGUUUC
Molecule: non-coding RNA, 1183 nt
Organism: Petromyzon marinus (sea lamprey)
Lineage: Eukaryota; Metazoa; Chordata; Hyperoartia; Petromyzontiformes; Petromyzontidae
Source: RefSeq, a predicted model, not a curated record